AUGCCCCUGAAGAUCAAGAUUUUCGUGUGGCAGCUUCUCAGAGAUCGUUUGCCUUCGGGGACCGAGGUGUUGAAACGCCAUGGUCCGGGCAAUGGCCUUUGCCCCCUUUGCCUCGUCCCGGAAACUGGAACGCACAUUUUGUUCUCGUGCAUAGCAGCACAAGCACUUUGGUGUUUUGUUCGUGAAGCUCUGGAACCGGAAUGGGAGGCCCAUGACCUUGCAGAGUUUCUGUAG
This 234-nucleotide ribosomal RNA is filed under the name Triticum aestivum (bread wheat). Its description in RNAcentral is "partial small subunit ribosomal RNA". Lineage: Eukaryota; Viridiplantae; Streptophyta; Magnoliopsida; Poales; Poaceae. The record is from RNAcentral.